GGCAUGCCUUUAAUAACUAUGAUGUCAACAUAAUAUAACUUGCAAAAAUCUAUAAUAACAAUGUUAAUCCAUAUUUGGCACCACACAUUUCGUAUGUACUCAAGUUGCUUGAUCUUUAAAUUGAAUUUUUUACCGUUAAAGCACUUUGUUUGGGUAGUUUUUAUUAUAUUUCAGUCUGUAUCUUUGGGGGACUUUCUUUAUAGUUGAAUCUAUAUUGCCAAGGGUAUUCCCAGGGGGCCAUCCCAACAAGUCCUACUAAUCUAUGUUGCAAAGAAUGUAAUGUCCCCCUCUACGUGAUUUU
Molecule: unclassified non-coding RNA, 301 nt
Filed under: Hevea brasiliensis (rubber tree)
Lineage: Eukaryota; Viridiplantae; Streptophyta; Magnoliopsida; Malpighiales; Euphorbiaceae
Source: RNAcentral